This is a non-coding RNA of Paramuricea clavata, 1108 nucleotides long. The record is from the annotation of a GenBank genome assembly. NCBI's taxonomy places the organism in Eukaryota, Metazoa, Cnidaria, Anthozoa, Malacalcyonacea, Plexauridae.
CAUGCGUUUGUUUUUACGUAAUGGACCGCCGGUCCACUACGGGAAAAUAAUGGAUCGCUGAAAGUGAUUCUCAGCCAAUCACAGAUUCACAGUCCGCCAUUUCACCGGAAGUGAUGCUUGCCAUAUAAUAAAACUUUUAAUAUACCGUAGAACCUCUUUUUAUAGUCUUGAUAACUACUAUUCCAUUCUUUAACUUAAGAAAUGUAUUUUACGUGUGUAUGCAGGAUGAAACUUAUAUCUGACCGUGUUUAAUUUAGCGAGCUUAAUUAAGCAAGCGACGGUCAACACGGACACAGAAUAGAUACAGGACCAGAAGUGUCACUCAGACGAUAUUUUGUCCUGUGCUGAGUGCUGACGUGAAGAUACGCCGCCAUAUGACGCCAUCCUGGAGUGCACACGGAAGUUUUUCAUAGGAAAACAUAGGUACAAAGUGCCGGGUGCACUCCAGGAUGGCGUCAUAGCACGCAAAAAAAAUUCGGACGUUUUCCUUCAGCCAAAACACAUAGGAGUGACACUUCUGGUCCUGUAUCUAUUCUGUGACACGGACGUCAGAUUGCCGAGGGGGGACUGGAUCAAAAACUGUGUUUGUAUCAGUUUGCAACACAUAAGACAAGAUGCAAGAUUCUUAAAAUAUACCAAUUUUUGGGUGACGUCCGUGUUGACAAAAACGUCGUUUAAGUUCACUAAUAAGUAAUUAAACAAUGCUCAAUAGCUAUAUACUUUAACAUCUGACUCUUCCACAGUCCCUAACACUGCUUCUAACACAAAGGACCAUGGGAAUGCCCCGAGGCGUCACAUUCCCAUCAAUCAGCGCGCGUUGGGUAAUUCAACGCGCGUUAGGUAAGCGACUGGGGACGAGUCAGCUUUAACAUCAUCAAUCUUACGCGUUUAUACGUUUAUCCAUAUUAAAUUUCGCUACAAAUACAUACCAUAAUGACAUGUGCAAAGGGGUGUAAAUAUGACCAUAAAUAUACCAUAAUAUAAAUGAUUUCUUCAAAGGGUUGUAAAUAUCGAGGUGUAAAUAUGACCAUAAGUAUACCAUAAUAUAAAUUAUUUCUUCAAAGCCAGUGUAGGUAUAUAGUGGCAAUAGUAACAAAAAACGUCGGAU